Solanum verrucosum is the source of this 1292-nucleotide long non-coding RNA. RefSeq lists it as uncharacterized. Lineage: Eukaryota; Viridiplantae; Streptophyta; Magnoliopsida; Solanales; Solanaceae. The transcript is spliced from 5 exons. The record is from RefSeq and is a predicted model, not a curated record.
AAGAAGUUCUUUGCCAAGAGUGAAUCUCAAGGAAGGCAGCAGGACAAUAUUAAGACUGUUCAUGAUGUGCCACUAUUGCCAUAAAUCAGAACGGUAAGGAGACUGCAUCAUUCUGCAGAAGAUAUCUGCUUGGAGCUUCCAUAGCAGUCAUCCCAUCACUGUGAUCAAUCUUCCACCCCAAGUUGUGGUGACGGUGCAUUCUCUGAUGAAAGGUAAUGUUAUCAAAUUUCUUGGGAGGGUUAGGUAUCUUUCUGAUAUUAUCUCAAUCAAAUAUGUCAGUAACUCACACACGACCUGAUGUUUCUCUCUUCAGUCAAGUGUGACAAUGAAACUUGUUAACAUCUGGAAUAGCAAAUUACAAACUCAAGGGAGGUGCACAAGUACCCGCGAUGGGGAGUCAAAAGAAGAUAAACCAUUCCUGUCAUGUGUUCCUGAUCUGAGUAAGAGCUAAAUUUUUCUAGUGCAUGUUUCAGUUAAUUAGCUUCAUUUCUUUCACCCAAUUUUCAAGACUAUCUUAGACUGCAUUCUCAUUAAUCAUGAAAGCAUUAGAGAUCACAAUGUCUCUUUCUAAGUCUCCUACGUCGCAUAGUCUCUUUCAAAUUCCAUCUGGCUUGUGUUCUGAUCUUGUAAUAGAAUUGUCAUGCCUGACAUUUUUUAUUCAAAUUUUCAUUAUUUGCACCACAAAAAACUCAGUUUCUUAGAUUCUGGGAUAAAAUGGAGGGACUACCUUUCCAGAGAUUACAAUGCACAGCAGUACUGGAACAAAGAAUCUUAAGAAUCAGGAUACAAUACUCGAUGUCUCUUCUGGUUCGCAUUUUGUUGGUGAUUCAUUGGUUUCUGAUACCAUUAAUAAAAAACUGCUUGGAGGGUGCCAAAGUUCUCCGACGGGUUGAUAAGAAGUUUAUUCCGAUUGUGGCAGGCACAACACUUGCUAUAAUAGAUCAGCAUGCUGCAGAUGAGCGAAUAUUCGUUUGGAUUAACUGCACGUGAAGGUAACAUUGAUUUUGAGUCUUUGACCAUGCUUUUCCUGGUCAUGCCAAAAUUUGGUUACCAACUACUACACAACUAUGCUGACCAAAUUCAAAACAGGGGUUGGAUCUGCAACAUAUAUUAUUAAGCUUCAAGAUCAUUUACCAGGUAAGUUACGAUCUUUGUUUAGAUUUUUCAUCACACAAACAGUCUAUGGAACUUGAUAAAAUUGCCAUUUACCAGAAAUUCCAUUUCACUAAAUCGCAACAUUCAUUGAAGUCAAACCUAAUUCUGAUUCACAAGCAGCCAACAUCUGUCACACU